Molecule: transfer RNA, 85 nt
Filed under: Oribacterium sp. KHPX15
Lineage: Bacteria; Bacillati; Bacillota; Clostridia; Lachnospirales; Lachnospiraceae
Also listed under: 3 other names
Rfam family: tRNA
About the family: Transfer RNA (tRNA) molecules are approximately 80 nucleotides in length. Their secondary structure includes four short double-helical elements and three loops (D, anti-codon, and T loops).
Source: Rfam by way of RNAcentral
GACGAGGUGUGAUAAUUGGUAGUCGGCCAGCCUGGAAAGUUGGUGCCCGUUUUACGGGUUGUGAGUUCGAGUCUCAUCCUCGUCG